CUUCUUUCUCUAUAAAUUCAACGCUCUCUCUUUCAUCUACUUCCGAACACCACCAACCAGAAUCCACACGAUUACGCAACUCCCUCCGCCAUUUUGAGCUUCACCGGAGAAACUUCUUCCGGCGUCUUCCACCAGCUCACCGAGCACCACCACGAAACCUUCCACUGACCACCAUCUUCCGUUAAACACCGCGGGCACGACCAUCGUCACCUACCAAACCCGCCGUGAACGGAACAACCACCACUACUAUUGGCUUCCCGUCGCCGGCAACAUCACAUACAACCACCCACAUCCAAACCACAAACCUCAAAUCUACCUUCGGACUACCUCCACCCUAACACGAUCCUACAAAUCUAUGACGAACACACCUUACACCACCACUCCGCCACCACUGUAGGACGAUUUCGACUCAAUAUGUAAAAUUUGAGCUGUUGUUAUUCUUGUAGUAAGAAAGAAGGCAUCAGUAUUGCCUAAAGAGGAAAUAUGUUUGGUUGCGAGGGGCGGAUCCACGUGAUAACUCAUAUAGGGGUUAUUGUUAUAAUAAGCGACCCAAGUUCAAAAUUAACCUAGAAAAUGUAGCUCUGGAUAUACAUACAAAGAAAGCUGUUGUUACUCUUUUAUCUUAUUCUGGGGAGCAAGAGUUGACUCAAUGUUGUGUUGUUAUCAUUGAAAAUGAUGCCAGUAAUUGUCAUACUGUUUUGACAUCUGCAAAGCUCAUCCAGUGUCGUACUGAACAAAAUGUGUUGGAAGAUAAAUUGGCUGAUAGUCUUAAGGUUAUCAUAUACCUGUAUGAUAGUUCAUCAUAUGAGGGACAAGUAUGUGCCCAUGAUUUUCACUAUAAUAUCACUUGGAUACAGUUUCAGUCCGAUUCAUCCUUCCCUACGGCAAGGAUCAGACAAGUGGAUGAUUACAUCAAUGUUAAUCCAGCUCAAGACAAGUCAUCUCAUCUUCGUCCACAUUCUACCCAUUUUAACCUUGUUCCUGGUCAUGCAAUAGUUGCCGUGGGGCGCUAUUUUACCAAACCAUUUGAUCUCAUGGCUGCCCCCGGAGAAUUUGACUUAGUUAUAUAGAUUGAGUUGUUCUAAUGUAUUGCUCCUUGUGAUGAUGAUUUUGACUGUAAUGAGCUCUUCAAGGGGACUUGUAGGAUCACAAAGGUUAUUUCUCUCCCCUUCUAUCUGCUAAUGCUUGCUAAAUUUUAAUGAUAUUUUUUAUUGAGAUGUAUGAUUAUGAUAAACCUAUUUGGUUUUACUAUAUGAUUGAGAGCUUGUGGGGUUUUAC
This is a long non-coding RNA of Lathyrus oleraceus (garden pea), 1278 nucleotides long. RefSeq lists it as uncharacterized. The transcript is spliced from 5 exons. The record is from RefSeq and is a predicted model, not a curated record. NCBI's taxonomy places the organism in Eukaryota, Viridiplantae, Streptophyta, Magnoliopsida, Fabales, Fabaceae.